RNA transcript from Rosa rugosa (rugosa rose), 3121 nucleotides. It is a transcript of the gene named F-box/kelch-repeat protein At3g06240-like, with no coding region annotated. The transcript has 2 exons. The record is from RefSeq and is a predicted model, not a curated record. NCBI's taxonomy places the organism in Eukaryota, Viridiplantae, Streptophyta, Magnoliopsida, Rosales, Rosaceae.
UGACUAAUUUUGACCACUAUAUAAGAACAAUGUCCUCUACAGUAGUACAGUCUACCCUAGCCGUUCAGAUAACAUGGCGGAGGACCGCGGUAGUGGUGGUGUGGUUAAGCGAAUUCGGAGUGACUACUUCGACGAAGAUAUAGUUUCCGAGAUACUGGCAAGGCUUCCGGUCAGAUCUUUACUUCGAUUCCGCUGUGUGUGCAAAUCAUGGCGUGCUCUGAUUGCGGAUUCGCACUUUGUGAAGAAACACUCGAGCUACGCAGAGAGAGGAAUCGGCGACAACAACUCCAAGCUCCUGUUUCUAAUGAAUCCUCCGCUAUCAAUAGACUACGAAGCACUGAAGGAUCUGAAGGAGGGUGGUGAUGGUUGGUUUGCAAGAAGAGAGCUCCACUUUCCGGUAAAGCUUGCUGCUUACCAAUUUAUGCAUGAAAGAAUUAGGAUUUUGGGUUCUUGCAAUGGGUUGAUUUGUGUUGAAUGCCAAGGGGUGGGGAUUGUCGUAUGGAACCCUUGCACCGGAGAAUACAAGGUGCUACCAAAUCCUCCUACAGAUUGCCAUCCUUCAGAUUUUUAUGGGUUUGGCUAUGACUCCACAACUGAUGAUUACAAGAUCAUAAGGGGGCGUAGGUCUUCGGAGGAGGCCCUGAUUCACGUGUUUACGCUGAAAACGGGCUCAUGGAGAACCACUCGGGAUCACGAUUAUGCCGAAUUUUGGGGUAAAGGGUGCUUAUUCAAUGGAGCUCUACAUUGGCUUGUGUCUACUUACCCAGGAUCAAGAAUUAUGUCCUUUUGUGUGGCGGAGGAGAAGUUUGAGGAGACAGUUCCGUUACUAGAUGAUUAUCAUGUUUUUCAUGGUGUAUUAGUAUAUAAAGAUCAUCUGUGUGUAUAUCAGAUCUUAGAUGGCAUCCCUGCUGUUUUAUCAGUAUGGUUGAUGGAGGAAUAUGGGGCCAAGGAAUCCUGGACUCAAGUUAUAAAGUUUUCUUUGAAGAAAUUACGUGGAGAGGAGUUGAAGCCCCUGUGCAUUUUGCAAAAUGGUGAAAUUUUGAUGCAUAGGGUUAUGUCUGAUGAUCCUUUUGAGUUUAAUGAUCCUGCUGAUGUGUUUGAUGUGGAUCUUGAUGAGUUGUAUUAUGAACAACUUAUGCAGGAUGAUCCUGAUGUGUUUAAUGAUGAUCCUGGUAUGUUUGAUGAGGAUCUUGAUGAGUUGUAUUAUGAACAACUUAUGCAGGAUGAUCCUGAUGUGUUUGAUGAUGAUCCUGGUGUGUUUGAUGAGGAUCUUGAUGAGUUGUAUUAUGAACAACUUAUGCAGGAUGAUCCUGAUGUGUUUGAUGAUGAUCCUGGUUUGUCUGAUGAAGAUCUUGAUACGUUGUAUAAUCAACAGUGUAUGUGGAAUGCAGAAAGCCUAUUGGUAUUAACUAAUCAAAAGACCUCAAAGGCUGUUUUUGAAGUUGACUUGGGUUUUGGAGCUGCCACUUACAGGCAGACUUUAGUUUCACCGGUAACAGGCAUAUGACGUCAACAUUGUGAGUCUUUCCUUCUGCUCUUCUUUUAUGUGAUUUUACUUGUGUGCAAGUUUUUGUUUAGAGCAUCAACAGCACAACGAUCACUCUUUUAAUAAUAGACUUGAGAAAUUACAUAGCUAGCUGCCUACUAACUGUACAAUGAUCACUUACUAUACUGAAGAUGGCUUCCCUGCCUGUUCUAAUUUUUCUUUAGAGUCUAUAGUAGCUUGUGACGUGUUGAUUCAAACUGUCUAUGCCUUUACCUUACCCUCUUAGUGUGACUUUUCUACUGGAAUUUUUCAAACUUCUGUCCACAACAAUAAUACUACUCGAACAGUAAUCAUUCAGUCUUUUGUCUAUUAGUUGGUUUAAAUGUGACUUGCUAAAUAUCAUUCAUUGCUACAAGUGUGAUUCAGUUAGUUGUAUGCAAUUUUUUGUUUGGUAGCAUCGGCAGCAUAGUUGUAGAUUAUAUGAGCAAGUAAUGGUAAUGAAAAGUAAUUUUUGACAAUAAACAAUUUUGAUGUUGUUAUAAAUAAUUGUUUUUUACUUAUUUGCUGGAGAUGGGCUCACAUAAAUGCUGUGUGAUUUCUCCAACACAGCUGUAACUUUUGUUUGCUUCUCUUCUUAACCAUAUGAUGAUGAGAUAAUACCAUACUUUACUUGGGCCAUUUCGCAAUGAAUUUUUUUUUUUUUAUAAGUUUGUGGUCUGUAGCCGCAGAAUUAAGAAGCAACUAGACCCCGGCUUUUUCAAAGCUGCAUUUUCUCAUCACAAGUAAGGAACCGGUACAGUAUAAUCAAUUUUCUUGUAUGCUUAAAAUAUCCUUACUCAAUUUGGAUUUUACACCUCGUGACCAUUCUAUCUUCAGCGCUUUCUUUCCUCUAUACUUUUUCUUCCCCUCCUGUGCUCUCCUCUUUGAUUAUAGGCUUUUAGAGAGUCUUUGAUUCUUUCAUCGAGCAAUUACUAUGAGUUCAGGACACAGAUAAAUCUUGUCGGCCAUGUGGAAAUGGUACUUAAAUCGAUGGCAUUUUGCAUUCGCUCUUAGUAGCCAAGACUUCUCAUGUCUAUGUCAUGUGCUCAUGGUUCCAAAAUGCUUUGUUGUUACGAAGAUGACAUAUAAGAUAGAUAUUAUUUGUAUGUAUAUUAUAUGUUCUAACGACAUUAUUUUUGGUUCUGUAAAUAUAUAAGGCGUUUAACCUAGAAGCAAAGCCUCCAGAACAGUAAGCAAAAACUAUCCUCGAGUAUGAAAAUAGGGUUUUUGUUAGGCUGCGAGUUCUUAAAUGGUCGCAACCUCCUAGUGGCAGGAUGAAACUUAGUGUCACUGAAAUUAUUUUUCGGUGGCAACAUAGUGGGAAAGCUGAUAGUAAUAGUAAAUUAUGGCUCCGCGUGAGCAAAAUCUUUCCGGUAUGUCACCACCUUUGUAAAGCGAAUAGAGUAGCCAAUGAUGCACUCUUCGCUAAUUGGUGCUUGUUAGAAUACAUAUUUUCUGUAGAGACUCUCGUUAUGAUCUCGAGUUGUUCUCUUUAUGCUUAUUGUGAUCUGGGGUUUAGGUAUCAUGUCUCCCCCAUGUAUUCUGAGGUUUCAUUAAUGGUCAAGGCUUGAGGGCAGCCGUACUGACCCUAUUUCA